UGCAUGAUACUAUUAACUUGUAGUUAUUUAAUAACUACAAGUCUUUUAUAUUCAUGAACAUAAUACUCCUGGAUGACGUCUUAACCCGACGUCAUCCUCUUUUUU
Non-coding RNA from Staphylococcus sp. HMSC078E07, 105 nucleotides. The record is from Rfam. NCBI's taxonomy places the organism in Bacteria, Bacillati, Bacillota, Bacilli, Caryophanales, Staphylococcaceae.